UGCAUCGCCCGGGAAUGGAACCCUUGACGCCCGCUUGAGAGGCGAGCAUUCUACCACUAAACCACCCAUGC
Non-coding RNA from Araneus ventricosus, 71 nucleotides. The record is from the annotation of a GenBank genome assembly. Lineage: Eukaryota; Metazoa; Arthropoda; Arachnida; Araneae; Araneidae.